Molecule: transfer RNA, 89 nt
Filed under: Thermoleophilia bacterium
Lineage: Bacteria; Bacillati; Actinomycetota; Thermoleophilia
Description: tRNA-Ser
Rfam family: tRNA
About the family: Transfer RNA (tRNA) molecules are approximately 80 nucleotides in length.
Source: RNAcentral
GGAGGGGUGGCAGAGCGGUCGAAUGCGGCGGUCUCGAAAACCGUUUCGGGCUCUUCGGUCCGACGGGGGUUCAAAUCCCCCCUCCUCCG